Molecule: ribosomal RNA, 328 nt
Filed under: uncultured eukaryote
Lineage: Eukaryota
Description: partial 18S ribosomal RNA
Rfam family: Eukaryotic small subunit ribosomal RNA
Source: RNAcentral
CCCUUAGAUGUUCUGGGCCGCACGCGCGCUACACUGACGAAUGCAACGAGCUUAUAACCUUGGCCGAAAGGUCUGGGUAAUCUCCAAAUUUCGUCGUGAUGGGGAUAGAUUAUUGCAAUUAUUAAUCUUCAACGAGGAAUGCCUAGUAAGCGCAAGUCAUCAGCUUGCGUUGAUUACGUCCCUGCCCUUUGUACACACCGCCCGUCGCUCCUACCGAUUGAAUGGUCCGGUGAAGCGUUCGGACCGUGGCAAUGGCUCUGGUUCGCCAGACCAAUGCUGCGAGAAGCUGUCCAAACCUUAUCAUUUAGAGGAAGGAGAAGUCGUAACA